This 558-nucleotide small RNA is filed under the name Pongo abelii (Sumatran orangutan). RNAcentral's name for it is "processed transcript". Lineage: Eukaryota; Metazoa; Chordata; Mammalia; Primates; Hominidae. The record is from RNAcentral.
CGUGCACCACUGCCCCAGGCCAUAGCUGGCUGGGGGAAGGCUUGGGCUCCCCUGCUGCUCUGCCAUCGCCUCCCUGGGAGGAUCUUUGACUUCAGCUUCUCCUCGCUCUGUGGCUGUGGGCUGCUUGGAGUGGGCAUCUGGCUCUCCGUGUCCCAAGGCAACUUUGCCACCUUCUCCCCCAGCUUCCCUUCGUUGUCUGCAGCCAACCUGGUCAUCGCCAUAGGCACCAUUGUUAUGGUGACGGGCUUCCUUGGCUGCCUGGGGGCCAUCAAGGAAAACAAGUGCCUCCUCCUCAGCUUUUUCAUCGUCCUGUUGGUCAUCCUCCUAGCAGAGCUGAUCUUACUCAUCCUCUUCUUUGUCUACAUGGACAAGGUGAACGAGAACGCCAAGAAGGACCUGAAGGAAGGCCUGCUGCUGUACCACACCGAGAACAACGUGGGGCUGAAGAACGCCUGGAACAUCAUCCAGGCUGAGAUGCGAUGCUGUGGCGUCACAGACUACACAGACUGGUACCCAGUGCUGGGGGAGAACACGGUUCCCGACCGCUGCUGCAUGGAG